GCAAACUUGGUCAUUUAGAGGAAGUAAAAGUCGUAACAAGGUUUCCGUAGGUGAACCUGCGGAAGGAUCAUUAACGGUUUUCGGGUGCUCUGCGCCCAAACCCCAACCCUAUGAUUUAUUCAUCCUGUUUCUUUGCCGGCUCCGGCCGGCAGAAGCCUUCUCAAACUCGAUGCAAUCGUGUCGUCUGAAUUGUGAAAACAAAUGAAUCAAAACUUUCAACAACGGAUCUCUUGGUUCUGGCAUCGAUGAAGAACGCAGC
RNAcentral lists this unclassified non-coding RNA (259 nucleotides) under uncultured fungus. Its description in RNAcentral is "partial contains small subunit ribosomal RNA, internal transcribed spacer 1, and 5.8S ribosomal RNA". The stretch from base 1 to 73 matches the Rfam family "Eukaryotic small subunit ribosomal RNA", at positions 1759 to 1831 of the family's 1831-position model. Lineage: Eukaryota; Fungi. The record is from RNAcentral.